RNAcentral lists this long non-coding RNA (216 nucleotides) under Elaeis guineensis (African oil palm). Its description in RNAcentral is "long non-coding RNA (EGUI_LNC034870)". Lineage: Eukaryota; Viridiplantae; Streptophyta; Magnoliopsida; Arecales; Arecaceae. The record is from RNAcentral.
CCAUGUGAUUCAGUCUCGCUAUCGUGAGGUCCGAUAAGAUGAAGAUUAUGAAAAACUCAUCAAAUUCCAACAUCUAUCAUAUGCAAGAUUCAAUUAGCUUGAGUCUAAAUUAUGAAACUCAUGAAAACUCUUUUCCAUCAAUCAUCUUAUUGUGGCCAUAGACUUAAGGACUCAACUUCUCAAAUCUCAUAGGACUACUUAUCUACUAAAAUCGAA